GUGAACGCUGGCGGUAGGCCUAACACAUGCAAGUCGAACGGCAGCACAGUAAGAGCUUGCUCUUACGGGUGGCGAGUGGCGGACGGGUGAGGAAUACAUCGGAAUCUACUUUUUCGUGGGGGAUAACGUAGGGAAACUUACGCUAAUACCGCAUACGACCUACGGGUGAAAGCAGGGGAUCUUCGGACCUUGCGCGAUUGAAUGAGCCGAUGUCGGAUUAGCUAGUUGGCGGGGUAAAGGCCCACCAAGGCGAUGAUCCGUAGCUGGUCUGAGAGGAUGAUCAGCCACACUGGAACUGAGACACGGUCCAGACUCCUACGGGAGGCAGCAGUGGGGAAUAUUGGACAAUGGGCGCAAGCCUGAUCCAGCCAUACCGCGUGGGUGAAGAAGGCCUUCGGGUUGUAAAGCCCUUUUGUUGGGAAAGAAAAGCAGCAGGUUAAUACCCCGCUGUUCUGACGGUACCCAAAGAAUAAGCACCGGCUAACUUCGUG
RNAcentral lists this ribosomal RNA (491 nucleotides) under uncultured bacterium. Its description in RNAcentral is "partial 16S ribosomal RNA". It matches the Rfam family "Bacterial small subunit ribosomal RNA", at positions 29 to 507 of the family's 1533-position model. The record is from RNAcentral.